Molecule: long non-coding RNA, 1921 nt
Organism: Strigops habroptila (Kakapo)
Lineage: Eukaryota; Metazoa; Chordata; Aves; Psittaciformes; Psittacidae
Exons: 2
Source: RefSeq, a predicted model, not a curated record
CAUAAAUUUAACAGCAUCUCAGUUAAAAUGAAAUGUAGUUUGUUUGUUAUAGUGAUAGAGCCACUGACAGCAAAUAUUAAAAGGUAGCAGCAGAUCUGUGAGUGGGUUUAGCAGACCUCUGAUAUCACCAAAAGCUCCUACAAAAGGAAGUGUUCCAGCCUGGUUAACUAAGAUAACCAUUGAUAACAACUGUUUGUUAUUUCUGUUUCCCACUUGCACCCUGUUGCUGUUGCUAACUGUAUCUUGUUUAUCUUUGCUUUGGAUGGUUCUGUUAGUAAUCUUACAUGCAUAUGUUAAAACAGAAAGAUACCAUGCUUAGUUUUUAGAAUGUCAUGGCUGAAUUUGAGAAGACCAAAUACAAACAAGCUAAAGUAAUAAAAUCAAAUAGAUCCAAUUGAAAGCUACCUCCAUCUCAAACAAGUAACCACGUUUCUCCUUGUGAUUAGAACAGCUUAUCAACAUGUACUGCAAAGUCUGUAUAUGUAACAUGAAGUAUGAUACAUACACAUAUAUUUGUGAGUGAUGAAGCAUUAUCUUUUAAAAGCUACAAGGCACCAAGUUGUUGUCUUAGGUAGAUGGUUGUCAAGUGACCAAGGCUAUAGAAGAGGAAGUGGGAGAACUAUCUAAAUUACGAAGUUGAGAGAUCAAUUUCAGUAAGGCUCAAUUAGUGCUACCCCAGGAAUUGUAAUAGGGUAAAUGGUAAGACAUAGAGAUAGAAGAAAGAUUAAAGCUUUAUGGGGAAUAAAUGCUACUUCUUCUUGACUCCAGUUCAAAGCAACUGUAGGAGAAUUUAUUUUUUCACAGCAGUGCAAAUUGUAACUUUGCUGGUAUCAGCAGACCAAAAUGAAAAUUACUGGAAAGGAUUAGAAUGGAGCUGGAACAAGGAAUAUGCUGCUGCUGCUGCUUUCACUUAAUUUAAAUAAGCAAUUAUAAAACUCCUGUCUGUUCCUGUUCCUGAGACAAGGAAAGCCUUUUACAAUUAAAUAUUUGUUAUUCACUGAUACUAUGGGAGUGGCACUGUUACAGAGCAGAAGUGAAUGAAAGCGAGUACCAAUAGAAUUGGAAUUGCAUUACUUUGAGGUUGGAUCAAAAUCUUUUGCCCUCAAUAGCCUGCAAUUCAGCUGGUUUGCAAUUCAGCCUGCUUAGAUCUUCCUGAAGUACCUAAUUUCAGGGAAAUCAGUAGGCAGCAAAGUAACGUCCACCUAAGUAGCACAGUGGGUGCUAAUAUUAACACAUAGGGAUUACUGUACAAGUGUUAAAGUGGAUCAUCUCACUUGUGCUUUAACUGAACAACAGGCAGAGCACAGUUAUAUCCAAAAUGUGGACAAAAAGCUCCAGAAAAGCCUUGCCCUGUGUAUAGGCUGCUGAGAUCAUUGACUGCACGGAACACAGGCACCCUGGAGAGCUUUACACCAAGUCAUUCCUUUCCUCUUUGAGCAGCAGUAGUUCUGCUACCUCUACAGGCAGCCACUUUGUCAAGGGCAAAGAGUUCAUGCACCAGUUGGACUAAGACGCUGUUCUCUGGGGACCCCGUGCAGGUAAAGUUGAAGUACGUUCCGCACUGCCGGUGGCUCUUUAAAAGCCAAUUGUGCUCUGGUUUUAGCAGAAAAAGGCAUCAGUCGCAGGCAGCCACGUAUCCCUGUGCACAGCUACUUGACAGGGGUCUUGCUUGUUCAAGCAGUGGUGUAUUUCUUGCCUUGCAGUCUUGAUGCCAAAACAGUCAGGGGUUCAACUUACAAACACCUUUUGACAUCAAGAUGACAGCUGGCUUUUUACUAGCACUGUAUUUCAGCUGUGUUGCUUGCUGAAACUGGCUUGGAGGCCCGAAGGUAUGUAGAGGGUUCUGAAAUAUUGGAGCAGUUGUUUUCAAGGAAGCGCCUUGGGAAGCCAGAGGAACUGAGCUGCUUGCGCCACGCACUGG